GACGAACGCUGGCGGCGUGCUUAACACAUGCAAGUCGAACGGAAAGGCCCCUUUGGGGGUACUCGAGUGGCGAACGGGUGAGUAACACGUGAGUAACCUGCCCUUGACUUCGGGAUAACUUCAGGAAACUGGGGCUAAUACCGGAUAGGAAUCCUUGCUGCAUGGUGGGGGUUGGAAAGCUUCGGCGGUUUUGGAUGGACUCGCGGCUUAUCAGCUUGUUGGUGGGGUAGUGGCUUACCAAGGCUUUGACGGGUAGCCGGCCUGAGAGGGCGACCGGCAACAGUGGGACUGAGAUACGGCCCAGACUCCUACGGGAGGCAGCAGUGGGGAAUAUUGCACAAUGGGCGGAAGCCUGAUGCAGCAACGCCGCGUGCGGGAUGACGGCCUUCGGGUUGUAAACCGCUUUCAGCAGGGGCGAAGCUUGUGGUGACGGUACCUGCAGAAGAAGCACCGGCUAACUACGUG
Molecule: ribosomal RNA, 465 nt
Filed under: uncultured bacterium
Lineage: Bacteria
Description: partial 16S ribosomal RNA
Rfam family: Bacterial small subunit ribosomal RNA
Source: RNAcentral